GGUUUUAUAGUCAAAUUAUUAUGAUAUUAGACUGCAAUUCUAAGGUUGUUUUUAAAACUAAAACCU
Molecule: transfer RNA, 66 nt
Filed under: Agriocnemis femina
Lineage: Eukaryota; Metazoa; Arthropoda; Insecta; Odonata; Coenagrionidae
Description: tRNA-Cys
Rfam family: tRNA
About the family: Transfer RNA (tRNA) molecules are approximately 80 nucleotides in length.
Source: RNAcentral